Long non-coding RNA from Passer domesticus (house sparrow), 10079 nucleotides. RefSeq lists it as uncharacterized. The transcript is spliced from 5 exons. The record is from RefSeq and is a predicted model, not a curated record. Lineage: Eukaryota; Metazoa; Chordata; Aves; Passeriformes; Passeridae.
GAAUUAGCCUGAAAUAAAGAAAAAAAUAACAAAAAGCCAAAACUAACACAUAAAAACCCUCCAGAACUUCACUGGAAUUGUUUUCCUUACAGAUGGUGCCUUCCAGGUGGUCUGUCACUGCGUGCUAACACAGGCACAGUCUGUGUGUGCUUCUCCUCUUGGAGCAGCAAGGUGCAGUCCCUUCUUAGGAGCCAGAAGGUACUUAGUACAUGACUUCAUAUUUACAUGGUAUACAUUUUAAUCCAUGCCUCAAUACUGCACAAACAUUUUCUUUCAUUAUGCACGAUGCCACAACUGAGUUCAUAAAGAAAUUAAUAAAAAUGAAAAACAAUUUAAAGUCUAAAUAAAAUUUUAACUGCCCAAGAUGACCAUGAAAAAAUGAGAUUUCUUCACAGUCUCUGCCUCUGCAUUAUUCAGGUAAGCACGAUGCCUGAGCAUCAGCAAAAGGGGUUUGGGUUUCUGUGGGUUUUCUUAGCUUUGACCUAGUAAAACUUCGUCAUUAUAGUAAGAAAUAAAUACAUAAAAAUAAUCAGAAAAGUUGCAUAUAACUGCAUAUAUACUUCUCCACUAAUGGCCAAGAGUUGAACAUAUUCUACAUCUCAGGAAUAAAGAGGAAAAUCCCCCUCAAUAUUUUAUACCCCAGGCAGCUUUUAUUUUCAACUUUUGAACUUCUUUUUCAUUGCUACCUCUGAGGAAAACCUUGCCUCAUAGCAAUGUAAGGUAAAAAGGGAAUGGCAGCUUGAAAAAGGAGAGGAUUGCCGCUUUUCAUCAUAAGUCUGCCAAGUUGACAGCCAGAAAACAUUACCAGCUAGAAAAAUAGUUCUUGGAGAGGUGUUUUGGUCUCCUUCACCCUGAGCACACAUGCAAGCAUUUUUUUAGAAUGUGUUUAUUUAUUUUGAUUUUUUAAUGUGUUGUACUUGUUUAAGUGAUAUCCAUGUAUUCAGUGUACAUCUUAAGAAAUAUUAUUUGUCUCUUCUGUCCUCCGGUCAUUUUUAUGAGUGAGCAGCUCAUGUCACAGACAUUCUUAAAAAGCAUGAAAUUUUCCAGAUGAAACCUCAAGCGAACUGUUCCCAUUAUGGUUCAGUAAAUGCCUCCCAGAUUCUUCCACACAGAGGAAACCUCAUUUCCUCCUUAGGAGUUUAUCACAUAGUUUGUUUGCAAAUGGUUGGUUUUUUUUAACCUACUAUUCAAAUCUUAUUCUGCAGGUAUAAUUCUUAAGCCAAAUAACUUCCUUAACUUCCUUACUAAUGAAAAUUACUUAAGGAAAAUUUUCAUUUUUUCAAGGGCAUCUAUAAAAAAAUUGUGUCUUUAUUUCACCAAGAGGAAAAUUCUGUACACAUGUACAAUACAGCAAAGGAAUAAAAACAGCCAAAUGCAAAACCAAACAAAAAUUAACAAAAACAAGAAAACAAGUCAGAAGGUAAGCAGCAUUUUAUCAGUAGUCUGAUAUGAUUGGGUUCCUUGGAGGAACACGUGCCUGAGUAGUUGUCUGAGUAAGGGAAACAACCUCUCUCAUAGCGUCAGCAUUUUCAGAUUCCACAGUGACCUGACUCACAUGAAGUUUUGGGUCUGGCAAAUCAGACUCAAAGUUUUAUGUUUAUAGGUCGUAUAAAGAAAUGAUAUUUCUCUAUUAUUUUAUCUUCUUGCAAAAACUUAUAAUUUAAUGAAAUGUGUGAGUCAAGAGAAGUUGUUGUCCCUUUUUUAUAAAAAAUUAAACUUUGGUGGUUAAACUUUGGUGCUUAAUUCUAGUAGAUAUUAGCUGUGCUCAACACAAAUUUCUCCCACAUCACUGUCCUUAAUCUCAACAAAGAUAAAACUCAACACAGAAUUUGCUGUUGCAUCAUGGAAGAUGAGCUGUCUAGCAAAUAUUACAGAGGGCUGCAUGCAUGCUGUAUACGUUUUGAGGAAGCACAUUCAAAAAAGAAAAAAAGGCUGAUUUUUCCUCUUAGUUUCAUUUGAAUAAUCAAACUCUGAAUUGGAGCACUUAAAUGGAAGUCAAGGCACUUGGAGUGUGAUGGAGGAAGCAGCAAUCAGUUUGAAAAGAUGUUGAAUCUCUGAUGAGCGUUGAAUAUGUCAGAUUAAGUUAUGUCCUAGAAAGGGAGGUUCCCUGAACAACUGCUAGUCACUUUAAAUUAUUCUGCAUUUCAAACAGGAAAUCAUCCAAUUAGACUAACAGCUGCAGAGAUUGGAAUAAGUCUUACAUAUUACAAAAUUAAAGAAAAUGCUGCUGAGUACUAUGGAAAGGAGCUAAGUUCUGCUUUGGCUUUCUUUGGCUGACAUCAGACUACUCCAUCUUCUCUUUUAAUAGUUAGAAGGCUACUUUCAAGGCCAGAAAGACCAUUUACUUCCACCUUGUCCUGGAUUCAAGAAAAAAGGUUUGUCUCAUAUGUUGAACUGAUGCACCUCUGCAAACAGGAGAAUAUCAGUGCUCUUACCGAAAGCAAACUUUUGUUCUGAGGGGUAAAAGGUACUGGAAGGCUGCAAUUAGUUCCCCUGAACAGACCUGCUAGCCCCUGUUAGCACUGCCUGUCUGCAGCAAGCAUGGAGAGGAGCACAAAAGAGGGCAUAACUGAGUGGUUCUUUCCACCUGGGACCAUUUACAAUGGAGGCUUUGAGUCAGAGAUGCUGUCUUUGAUCCCCAGUAAGAGUAGAGGUAUGUAGGAGUCCAGUGGAGCAUGGAGAGAGAGACAUUAGGAGACAUUCAUCCUAGUAAACUUUUAAUCUUAAAGAGACACAUAGGGCUUAAAUAUGUAUUUUUAUUGAGGCUGGGUGAGAGAAAAGUGUUUAAGAGGGUGAAUAUUAAAAAGCAACAUUUAUAAACUGCUAAAAUAACCACAGAAUGUUGUCUUGCCGACCUCAUUUUCUGCAAUGGCAGAAGCUCUGUUGCUAAGUAAUUAACAGAGCCAAAGAAAGAAAGAGGGGGGAAAAAAGAGAAUCCUAUUUCUAAAUUCUCUUUAAGUAGCACUUAUAUGGAUAUUAGAUGGCAGCAGAAAGAGUUAUAAUUGUUCUAAUAUAAUGUCACUCAGUCAAACUGAAGGGAGCACCAUGAAAGCAUUAUAUUGUGAAUUUCAGUCCAUAUGGCUUUAUCUCACAACACACAUCUCUAUUUUCCCCAGACUUUGUCUAAGAUUCACAUUUAUCUAAAGGAGAAAAUUACUUCCAUGCUCCAUGGUGACAUGGUAUUUAGACUUGAGCUCUGGUUAAGCCUGAGAACUCCUGAGUACCAGAUUUCCUGCUCAGGUCAGUGGAGAACCUCCUUUCAGCAUCACAGGGGGAUCCACUUCACCGCUUUGCAGGGCAAUUCAGUGAUGAACUCUGGGAUGAAAUUCAGCCACUUCUUUCCCAUUUUGGAUGCUCUGAGCAGUUUCUCCUAACAAACUGCUUUAAUUAGUAAGCAGAGACAAAACAGAAGCAGUCAGUCUUUGUGGCUGCCUGCAUUCAGAGAUAUAUUUUAAAAAUUAUCCUAAUAGCAAAACCAGCGUUUACUAUUGCAAAAGAAUAAGAUAUGCUCUCCAGUAUACAAAAGAUAUUUCAAUUCCAGCCUUGUUCAAGUCCUGCAUUGAAAGGCACCCAUCCAUCCUACUGUAAAAUUGAAUACAUUAUUUAUUAUUACUGUGGUGAAAUGUGAGAUCUUUAAUUUCAUCAGAGUUACUAGAUAACACAUAUUUGAUUACUUAAUGACCUUGUAUUUUCUGAGAAAAAAGUCUGUUGCUUAAAUGACAGAGAUGUAAUGGCCAGAAUUCAUUGUGGAUAACAGAGCUAUAGAAGAACUUACCAUAAAAUGUAUAGCUCAGAUUUCUCUGCUUUUUGGCAUUCAACAGUAACAUUUUUAAAAUAUAACUUAAAUAAAUAUCAGCAGUUAUUCACAAGAGAUGUAAUGUUAUUAAGGUUGAGAAAUCACACUUUUCUAUAUGUUUUCCUCCGACCUUGCACAGGAAAUAUGGAACAAAAAAGAUGUCAGUUAAAUUGCACUGUUCUCUCUCACUCAAAAGAAGUAGAGAUAUUAGCCAAUGCUAAAGCAUAAUGGAGAAGGAGAAGGAGAAGGAGAAGGAGAAGGAGAAGGAGAAGGAGAAGGAGAAGGAGAAGGAGAAGGAGAAGGAGAAGGAGAAGGAGAAGGAGAGGAGGAGGAAGAGGAGGAGGAAGAGGAGGAGGAAGAGGAGGAGGCUCAUCAAGAGGAAGAAGGAGAAGAAGAAGGAGGAGGAGUGAAACUGAAUUUGCAAUCAGAGUACCUUCCUUCUCCAGCCUCCCUUAAUUCCCUUAAGUAGUUUACCUGGUGGCAUUACAAUAAUCAGUUAUAUCAAUUUAUGUUAAAUAUAAAAUAUUUUUAAUUUUUUUCUCUUUUAGGAGCAGAUGACCUCCAAAAUAUUGGCUGUGCCAAACCUUACAAAUUCUGAAAAUCUCUUUAUGUCUAAUACAGAUUAUGCAACAUCAAUUAUGGAAAAUCAGAGCUUUACUGAUCAGUCCUCUAUUUACUUUUUAGAAGAAAAAAAAAGUCCCAUGUUCAUUUAUGCUUGUACAGAUCUUCCUCUUGAAGAACAAAGCACAUUAAAAUUCAGUGUUGUAAUGCUUCUUGCGUUCUAAGUAAAUGUCCUUAAGCACCAUGAGUGAUGGGGAACAAAGGGGUUUCAGAAGAUGCUCAGAGGUGCCAUUGCAAUCUCUGGGUAAUCCAGGGAGGAAAUUCAGAUCUACUCACAUUAUAUUUUUCUUGAAAGACCAAAAUUUAUGUCCAUUCCUACUUUCCUGCUCACCCAGCUUGCUCUUCCCUUCAGAAGCUGAAAACAAAGAGUAAAAAUUGAGACAGCCCUGCUGUCUAAUCAGUCAACCAUCCUUCAGUAGCUGACCAUGAAUGUCAACAGUUAAAGAAGCCUGUUCCAGGAGCAAUUAUUUAUAAAUCCCAUUACCCCGAACAAAAAUCUGACAUAGAGAAAGAAGAAAAAAAAAAUUAAAAAAAAAUUUUAAAAGUCUAGCUACUGAGUUUAGCACUAGCCCAGGCAAGAAAGCUGCCCAGUAUUUCCAGACAAGAAAGCUGUCCAGUAUUUCCAGUUGUAAAGACAGUUUGUGGUACAGACAAUACUUUUAAAUACAGUUAUAUAUGAAAAAAUGAUGCUUGUAUUUUGUAUGAGAAAAAUAAUGAAGUAACAAAGAUAAACUGAGAACCAAAGAGAAUGAAGGAAAUUUUAGGUGUAAGCAAUAUGCAAAGUUCAGGUUUUAUACUUUAUACUGAGAAAGUAAACAUCAGUAAAGAAAGGGACUGUUGUUCAGGGAAUACAUAGUAUUUCUUCAGUAUGAAAUCCAAAAAUGUGACCCUAUCAGCAACUAUCAAAGUACUAAAUUCAAAGCUGCAAGAUAUAGAAAUAUUUGUCCUUUCCAACCCCACACCAAAAUUUAUUGAAGUAAGUCCCUGCCAGCUUCUUCAUCUGUGGGCAAACAUUGCUUUUUCAAUAGGAACAACUUCAGACAGAAAAAGAAGACAUUUAUAAACCAUGCAAUAUAUGGUUAAUCCUACAGAAAUAACUGAAGGACCAAAUAUGAUUUCUUUACAUGAUCUGGUGUGUUUUUAUUUAUAGAUUCUUUUUGUUCAGUGUAAGUACAAUAGGAUCUCUUAUACCACUGGUUCUUGGGCACUCACUCACUUGCAUUGUUAUUCUAGCUGUAUGCUUUGAGCUUACUAUCUUUCAAUCCUGCAACCUGUUGAAAACAUAUUUAAGAUCUAUAGUUUAUUGUCUCAGAGAAAGAUUGUCAGUACUCAUUUGAAACCAUCUCUGAAAACAUUAUCAAGUACUGCUUUUCUUGAUACUGUGGGACAUAUCUCUAGGUGUCAAUCUGGCCCUAUCUGCUGCCUGUUGAUAAGCCAGAUACCACACACACCUUGUCACUAUGCCAGUAUUUGACACAAGCAAACUGAAGCUCAUCCUCUGGCUCUUACAGACUGUAGCGUGAAGUGCAGAGCAGAGAUAAUACUGGAAGGCAUUCUACAAAGUGUUAAGGUCAUGGAAUCUGAAUAAAUAUUAGCUCAGGCCCACUGGAAUUUCAUUUAAUAUUUUUAUAACUUCUUUCAUUUCUUUUCGGAUUUCAGACGUUCCUACACAUGUGAAUCAUGAAAUGUCAACUGAAAACAAAACUUAGUUUCUUGCAGGUUACAGACACAGAAAUACAUGACAAACUGGAAAUACAAGCAAGCAUUAAAGGGUAUAAAUUACCAGGUUUUAUCAAUUUAUUUAAAGCAUCAUACUUGAAAUUACAGCUGUGCUGGUACAGAGAGAUAUCUCAGACAACUUUUCCUUCCUUUGCUCUCCCCUGGAGAUCAGCAUUUUUCAGCAGAAGGUCAGGAAGGAAAAUGCAACCUUUAGCUUCCAUCUGGUUUUCAAUAAAGGGGAAAUGACAUCUGCCCUAAAUAUGAAGUAUGCUCCAAAAGAUAUUCUUUACAAAGUGAAGGGGUGACUCUAGCUUCUUCUUCCUUUAAUUUAACAGUGGGAUCUGGUGAUUAAAAGAAAUGUUGCAGGCUGAAGCUGGGAGAGAGAAAUGAAAACUCAGAAACAAAUGACAGUAGAAGCAGGUAUUUGACAUUUUGUUUUGGUCACUGAAGUUUAAUGUAAGAGUUUUCCCCUGCACUUUACCCUACAUUCCUCAUCAGAGAAAGGUCUGGAACAAAUUGGAAAGAGAUAAGAGAUAAUAAGUGCUUGGGCCUCUUAAGGACAUGGUUGUGGUCAUUGCACACAUUUCCUCUCCCCACUAAUCCAUUUCCAUCCUAGGCAGUCAUCUUUAACUGCUUGAUCCAUGAGAGGAAAUGUCUGAAAGAGAGAGUUACAGACAGCUACACACAAUUUAUGCAGUCAGUAGUGACUCCAUUUCCCCCAGAUAUCUCUCAUCUUUAUGUCACAGCCUGUUAUGAAUUAACCAGCAUGUGCUAACCAGAUCUCACCUCCACCAGGCUGGGAAUUAGCAUCUCCCUGUCGAAAACUCUUCCUUUCUGUGCUUAUCUCAAGUUCCUGCUGCUGUGGCUUCUCCAAAUUCCUUCUGUGGCCUUGACACUGUUUGAGGUGGGCAAUGGUGCUCUUUAGGUCCUAACAAUAGCUCCAGCCAAGAAGCAGCAAAGGUGAUUCCAGGGCAUCGUGCCUUUAUAGUUGGCCCUCAAAUGCACAGACAGGCAAACAUUUAGCACCAUUAAACAAAUGGAUAUUUAUGUGGAAUAAAAGCUAGCCCAAUAAAAAGUGCAGUGGAUAAAUCAGAGCACUAUAACAACAUGCUAAUUCCAAGGGUGUGAGUUACAAUAAGACACUGAGAUCUAUAGCAAAGAAAAAAGAAACAGCUAUAAUUCCUUCAAAAUUCAGUAGUAAACCCUUUACGUUAUCAGCUGUCUUGCAAUAAUAAAAAUGUUUUUAAAUUAAAGAGAAACUAUCUUUUUUUUCCUCACACAGGAAAAGGAAAUAUUUUUUUAAAAAAAUAGAAAAAUGUUCAACUGAGAAGAAAGCUGAUGACCUCAUAACCUCAUUUGCUCCUCUAGAAUUGCUGAUUUGAGUCUCCAUUGAGUCAAAAGGAGCGUGUCCAGGAAACUGUAUUUUCAUUCUACCAUUGCCUCUUUCCCACCAUUCUAAAAAAGUCCUACUCAAGGAUAGAUGUGUUUUAGCCUUGGCCUUCAUCCAAAAUAAAAUACUUCUUUCCAGGAAAAAUAAAAAUCUUAAGCAUCAACCUGAACAUUUUCACCUCCUCUCUACAAGACAAAUUUCUACAGGCAUAAUACAGCUUGGGGCAGAAGAUGUUCUAGCAGCUUGUCAGGAUUUUCUAGGAUGAGGCAGGGAGAGUCUGUGCAUCAGAUGGGAACUGCGAUAAAUAUAUAUGAGACUGAAGAAAGGGUAGAAGGGGGUAAGAAGGCAAAUCUCUUCCAGAGCAGAAGACAUUGACUUUUCAGGUUCUGUUGUACCUUUCAAUUACCACUGCUGAUGGAGAAAUUCCCUCCUUUCCUGGCCAAUUGAAGCUGAUUUUCUAGUUCUUAGUCCAGUUUAUUCAGAUUUUUCAUCAUUUAUAUCCAACUGUCCACAGCAGAGGUAGUUUUUAUCAUUACUCACAAAGGAUGGACCCUAGAGCUUCCUUUUCCGGGUUCUCUCUCCUUUUCAGUUUCUCUUAAUCUAUCCUCUUGGCAACCACAGACGUUCUUUUCUCCCCUACCUCACACUUCUUGCACACACACACAGCCCAGGGACACUGACAGUCUUUACUUGCUCUGCAAUGAGACAGCUCUUCAAUUUCCCCCAGCUGGCCCUCCCUCCAUCUGGCCACGGAGACUCAGAGCAGACCCCUGCCAGGCACACUGGUGCUGGGGCCUGAAAUCCUCUGUGUGAAGGAAUCUUCACACAUGUCCCACCAUAAACACAUCUCCCAAGGCAGAACUUAGUCUGUAAUGGUGUAGAUACAUAUAAUGCACCUCCAGUGUGUGUUGAGAAGUUCCCCUGGAAUCAAUAAAAGGAAUCAAUAAAAUUAUGGAAUCAAUAAAGGGAAGAUUGGAAGCAAACGGCCAGAUCUGCACAUUAGGUUUUAAUAUUCCUCACAUCAUAUAGAUUUUAUUUAGUAUCUUUUAUUUACAGCUAUAAAAUUUGUUUCUGGAGGACAGCAAAAUAAAGUACUGCUCCACAGACUUCUCUGUCUCUCACAUUAAGAGGACUGGAAUCCAAACAAACAUCUGCUGUGACAGGGAGACACAUUUCUCUGUCUUAACCACAACCUUGUCUGUAACUAUGGUCUCUCAAGCAUAAGCAGAUUGAGGCAAGAUUACUGCUCCAGAGUCCAAAAGGGAAAAAUCUUUAAAGGUGAGCAUGCAAUUUUACAUAUAACUUUUUUUCUGCAGACAUUACUGUUCAAAUAUAGAUAGCACCACCCAGAAUUGGGCAGAUAUUUUUUUGCCCAAAACCUUCUGGUUUGCAACUACAUCAAAUUUCAGUUGUACACAGAUCAUGUGUUAUUUGGAGAAAAAGAUUGAACUGGUAAUAAGAAACUAUUCACUUUAUUUACAAAUCCAUAAAUAUGUGAACUUUUCUCCAUUCCGUCCAUAUUUCAACUGGCAAGAUGGAAUAACAGUGUACCCUUUGGAGCCUUUCUUCACUCAAGUACACAUAAUCAUUACUGUCAGCCCAUCAAGCUCCAGGUGAAAAUAGAUUCUAUAUAAACUCUUUUAAGUCACAUUUGAUUAGACCCUUUUCUGUAUGAGUUUGACAUGUUUUAUUAUUUCUUAUCACAGCUUCUGUGGUGGACUUCCCCAGAAUAACUCCUGUACCAUAACUGACAAACGAAAUCUGACUUACAUUACAGAGAAUGAAAUGUUGAAAGUCUUCAACUGAAUAUGGUAAAUGAAAGGUGUGUAGGGUACAAUUCUCUUAUUUGAACAGAAGCUUUGUCUUCAGCAACACCAACCAAAACCAGGAGCACUUGCCAGGCAGGAAGGGGUAGAAAGUAACCUGUAUCCUGGGUGGAGGUGGGAUAGAGAAUCUAUGGCAAGAUAGAGGAAUGUGAUAACAGAAAGGAAUAUAACCAAUAAUAAAUAAGGAGAAAUGUAUAUGGAUUUCACCAGCUUUACCGUGCAGUUUUAAUUAAAAGAAAAAAUUAAUUAUAAAAAAUAAAACCAAUUAUAAAACCAUGGCUGAAACUUGUAAAUGUUUAUUUAAGAAUGUCAAUAAUCACAAAGCUUAUGAGACACAGCUGGAAGCUUUAUGGGCCUUCUCUGUUGGAAAUGGUUUUUGGAAAAUUAAUUGCUUGACAGAUUUUGCCUAUUUCCGUGGAUUUCUUGCCAUCUUUCCCUCUCCCCCCACAGUAUAUAAAUACAUAGAGGUAAAAGAUAUCUUGUAAUGCAUAACUAAAGCACUAUUUUUGAGCAGCAAACUUAUUUGUGACUUCUCUUUUACACUGUAAAAUGACCAGAAAAAAAGGUGUCUUUUUUUAUUUCAUUUUCCUCCUUCAGUGGCCUGAAUAAUCUUACUGUCUACCAACAGAUAAGUCAAAGGCAGAUUCUGCUGGCAUGUGAUCAAACACUGCUUCUUCUCAUUGCCACACAGGGAGUUGUUCAUUGUAAAUUUUAGAAGUUUCUCCUG